This is a long non-coding RNA of Strigops habroptila (Kakapo), 567 nucleotides long. RefSeq lists it as uncharacterized. Lineage: Eukaryota; Metazoa; Chordata; Aves; Psittaciformes; Psittacidae. The transcript is spliced from 2 exons. The record is from RefSeq and is a predicted model, not a curated record.
AGCAAAGGGGGAGCCACCACCUUUCUCCUACACUGAGUUUUUAAGUCUUUCCCCCUCCCUGCUCAGCCUGGCACCACUCACCACCACCACUUUUCCCUUGCUUUAGGUGAGGAUGUGCCUCAGGCGAGGGCGUGAGCGUGCUUUGAGGGGCAUCUUUGGGGUAGCUCUGCCCUGGUGUUGCAGACGGGAGAGACCCAGGGCACCCAUGGGUCUUUGCUAGCCCCAGGCCGGGAAGUACUACAACACCCUCUGUGUGCACCCUUGGGCAACCACAGAAGCAGAAAAAACACUUCAUGGGCACCAGGAGGAGCAAACCACCCUCUGCUGCUCCCCAGUUCACUGAUGUUCACCAGCUCAGCCUGCAGAUGAAGGCAUCUGAUUGUUUCAGUCCCCUCGGAGUGAAACUACCAGCUCAGGAGAUCAAACUACGAUCCCAACAGGAGCUGCCGUUGGCCUCCCUCAGGACACGGCUGUCUGAUGCUUGCUGGGUGCCUGCUGCCACAGAGGGCAACUGUUCUUUCCUCAGCUUGGGGAAACCAAACGUCCUAAUAAAAAAUAUCCAUUUUA